CCUACGGUGGGCAGCAGUGAGGAAUAUUGGUCAAUGGGCUUACGCCUGAACCAGCCAAGUCGCGUGAGGGAAGACUGCCCUAUGGGUUGUAAACCUCUUUUGUCAGGGAGCAACGCCGGCUACGCGUAGCCGGACUGAGAGUACCUGAAGAAAAAGCAUCGGCUAACUCCGUGCCAGCAGCCGCGGUAAUACGGAGGAUGCGAGCGUUAUCCGGAUUUAUUGGGUUUAAAGGGUGCGUAGGCGGAAUGCCAAGUCAGCGGUAACAUGUCGGGGCUCAACCUCGCUCCGCCGUUGCAACUGGCGUUCUUGAGUGGGCGAGAAGUAUGCGGAAUGCGUGGUGUAGCGGUGAAAUGCAUAGAUAUCACGCAGAACUCCGAUUGCGAAGGCAGCAUACCGGCGCCCAACUGACGCUGAAGCACGAAAGCGUGGGGAGCAAACAGGAUUAGAUACCCUAGUAGUC
RNAcentral lists this ribosomal RNA (460 nucleotides) under uncultured bacterium. RNAcentral describes it as "partial 16S ribosomal RNA". It matches the Rfam family "Bacterial small subunit ribosomal RNA", at positions 338 to 795 of the family's 1533-position model. The record is from RNAcentral.